UAGAAUGUGAAAGGCCAUUAGA
Molecule: microRNA, 22 nt
Filed under: Monodelphis domestica (gray short-tailed opossum)
Lineage: Eukaryota; Metazoa; Chordata; Mammalia; Didelphimorphia; Didelphidae
Description: mdo-miR-7359-5p
Source: miRBase by way of RNAcentral